GUGAAUCAUCGAAUCUUUGAACGCACAUUGCGCCCUUUGGUAUUCCGAAGGGCAUGCCUGUUCGAGCGUCAUUAUCACCCCUCAAGCCUCCCGGCUUGGUGUUGGACGGCCUGGUCGAGAUAUCUAAAUCUCGAUCCCUCCUAAAGACAAUGACGGCGGCCUCGUGGGACCCCCGGUACACUGAGCUUCUUAAUUGAGCACGUAUCGGAUCUAGGGUACCCGGGACCCGGUCUCUCUCCCUUUUACAGGGAAACUCCUUUCUAAGGUUGACCUCGGAUCAGGUAGGAAUACCCGCUGAAC
This 300-nucleotide unclassified non-coding RNA is filed under the name uncultured Herpotrichiellaceae. RNAcentral describes it as "sequence contains 5.8S rRNA gene, ITS2". The stretch from base 1 to 71 matches the Rfam family "5.8S ribosomal RNA", at positions 84 to 154 of the family's 154-position model. The record is from RNAcentral. Lineage: Eukaryota; Fungi; Ascomycota; Eurotiomycetes; Chaetothyriales; Herpotrichiellaceae.